CGAAGAUGCACCAUGGAUUUGAGAUAUUGCAACCCCAGAAGAUCCAUUCGGCACAAAACCAUCGCCUUCAAACUGCCAAACUCCUGAUGAAUAGUCAAGACCCUGCAACAUGAACAUAGCGUGGCUGUUGGGGUUCAUGUGGCUUGUCAUCAGCGAAAACCCACAGCUUGUGUAUGCCAUGCUCAUAACUGUAGCACUCCUCAAGUGGCACAUUAUAUGGUCUUUGCAAUUCAAAAUUUGCUUGUGUUAACGGCACACGAGUGAAACCAUCUGUGGUAUCUGCUUCGCCUAGAUUGAAGCUUUUCAGUAAGCACACAAGAACCAGAAAAAGAAGCAUAUAGCUAGAGUCAGUAUGCAUGUUCUCUAACUUUCUUUUACAAUGGUGAGAGCUCCAUGGAGAAAGGCAAGUACAUAUAACUGAAGUAGGUGGAUUCCUAUUAUUUUCUUCUUUUUGUAAUGUCAUCUCUUGGACUUGAUGAAUGUCGGUUUUUCCAAUUUAUAAGGUAAAUGAUUCUCAUUAGUAUAAACUUAAUAUAUCAAAGAAGUUGGAUCCAGGUAAGUCCUUAAAGUUCUAACCUGUUAUUCCAUUUUAUUGGCCAAAAGUUUACUAUAUUUGGACUGUAACUUUUCCUAAGAGCAAUCCGGGAACGAAGCUUAAUUUUCAAAGUCAUACUCUAUUGGUUUUAAACGUUUUUCCUAUUUUAUUCACAGCAUAUUGGUUUAAGAACAUCAGGUAAAGAAGCUCUGGAACGUAACAGAGAUGGAAAGCCUGGCUACGACUAACUCACAGAAGAGCUCAAUGAAUUCAUUUGCAGCCAAAUCAUUGUGUUCUCUUAUAACAUGUGCAACCUGCGAUUACCAUAUCAGAGAAAUUGCUUGAUAUAAAAAUACCAGAAUACGAGGGGUGGCAUCUUGACCGGACUAAAGGAGUAAGGCAAUGUUGCGCCUCAUCUGCUUCAUCACCACCACCUUUCUCUUGUUUCUCAGUAGCUCUAUCCUUGCUACCGCCAUCUUCGCCGCUGUUUUGCUACAAUUUGAAGUAAACAAAAGAACUAAAACGUGCUUUAUUUGUUAUUAAAGAAAAUGCAAAGAAAGGAAACAAAUCGAGAACCCCAGAAAAGGAAGGCCGAAAGCAAACGAAACGGGAAUAAAAAAACCAUAAAGACGAUUUUAAUGGGUUCGUACCAUUUGCAGGAGUUGAAGCCGUUGCGAAAGAGAGAAAGAGUAAGCUUCAUGGACCUCGGCCCUUGCCCUUGUCCCUGCCCUAGCCCCUAGCAGAAGAGAGACAGACAGACAGACAGACAGACAGUAAGGAAGAGAAGAAGAUUAUUUAGAAAGGUGGGAUUUGCAACGUUUCGAUGUGCUUAGAAAGCAAAAAGAAACACUGGGAUUUCCCACUCUUCUACCACCGACUUGGCCUGAUUUGUGAGACAGCGGUAGCCGUUACGAGAUUUGACGCGCGGGAAGAAGAAAACAGAGUCAUACGUUGGAAGAAUCCGACGUUGUUAGGAUUGGAAUUGGGCCUAAACUUCUAUCCAGAGAAAGAAACCCGUUUGUGAACAGUUAAAGAAAAGAAAAACAAUGGCGGUAAAAUUCAAAGGAUGCUAAUUCCGCCCCAACACACAUUACUUGGUAAACAGGUUUGUCCUGCAACAUUUUUGUAAGAGGAAAAGGAUUUGCAUGCCCAUCUCGAUAUAUAAAGUAUAAAUCUUUCUCUCUGGUUCUGGCUAAUUUCUUGUUAGGAGAGUUCACUGAGAGUGGAUUGAGUUUUUGGCGAGCUGAGAUCUUCAUUUUCUUUCUUUUCCUUCAAAAGGCUUGGGCAUUUGACCUCGAAAGAGAGGAAUGCUUGCCUAUUUCAAGAAUGGAUUCAAAGCCCCUUGUUACUUGGGAAUUGUUCCCUCUAGCCGACACCAGGCUAGAAGAAAAAAAGAUCCAGUCGGUGAAGAGAGCAGCAUUUCAUUAGGAUUGCCUCUUUCAGGGGAAUAUAAUUUUAUGUUCAAAGGAAAAAGUAAUGCAGGUGGUGAAGGGAAGCAGGAGAGGUUUGAAAUAGCCGAAUGUAGCGAUCAAUAUCAAAGGGAAGAACAUGGCAUGAACAGCCCCCAGGAGGCGGAGGUUGGGGGUCUUUCUUUGGAACUGAGUCUGGGUGGUUUUAAUGAUACAAGUGUUUACACUUACAAGGAGAGAGAGAGAAUAGAGAAUCCGGCAGUGCAAGAAGAGUUGCGUCUCACAGAAACAAGAGAAUUAAAGUUGAGAGAGAAGAAGCGAGGAUGUUAGUUUUGACGUCUGAACUGAGGCUCGGGCUUGAUCCUUGCUGCAUUAAAAAGAAGCUUACUGGAAGCGACCUUGGCAACAUGUCAAGGCUCAUGCUGGCAUUAAAGUGCGUAGAAUAUCAUGUCUUUCCAUCGUGGAAUGCUGAGGAAGGGUUGCCAGUUUCUGUGUGGGAUUGUGAUACACAGACCGAACAUGAGCUGGUUCUCAAGCGGUGGAACAAGAGGGCCAACGUGUUUGUCAAAGAACUGGGUCAUGGACUUCGUGGAGAGGAAGGAACUGAAGGUGGGGGAUGAAAUUGGCCUUUGCUGGGACACAUGCAAUUCAAGCUUCCAAUUUUCUGUCGUUAACCCAGUGGCAACGAAUUAGAGAUUUUUUUUUAGUUAUUUCUAAUUUUUUUUAGGGUAAUAUGAUGUAAUUAAUUAAUUUCUUCAUCUUCUGGUAAUCAACUCUGAGCUAAAUAUAUAUAGUUUGUUCAAA
Long non-coding RNA from Theobroma umbraticum, 2748 nucleotides. RefSeq lists it as uncharacterized. The record is from RefSeq and is a predicted model, not a curated record. NCBI's taxonomy places the organism in Eukaryota, Viridiplantae, Streptophyta, Magnoliopsida, Malvales, Malvaceae.